RNAcentral lists this ribosomal RNA (253 nucleotides) under uncultured bacterium. Its description in RNAcentral is "partial 16S ribosomal RNA". It matches the Rfam family "Bacterial small subunit ribosomal RNA", at positions 524 to 776 of the family's 1533-position model. The record is from RNAcentral.
UACGGAGGGAGCUAGCGUUGUUCGGAAAUACUGGGCGUAAAGCGCACGUAGGCGGCGCAGCAAGUCAGGGGUGAAAUCCCGGGGCUCAACCCCGGAACUGCCCUUGAAACUGCAGUGCUAGAAUUCUGGAGAGGCGAGUGGAAUUCCGAGUGUAGAGGUGAAAUUCGUAGAUAUUCGGAAGAACACCAGUGGCGAAGGCGACGCGCUGGACAGACAUUGACGCUGAGGUGCGAAAGCGUGGGGAGCAAACAGG